UACGUAGGGCGCAAGCGUUGUCCGGAAUUAUUGGGCGUAAAGAGCUCUUAGGCGGCUUGUCACGUCGGGUGUGAAAGCCCGGGGCUUAACCCCGGGUCUGCAUUCGAUACGGGCUAGCUAGAGUGUGGUAGGGGAGAUCGGAAUUCCUGGUGUAGCGGUGAAAUGCGCAGAUAUCAGGAGGAACACCGGUGGCGAAGGCGGAUCUCUGGGCCAUUACUGACGCUGAGGAGCGAAAGCGUGGGGAGCGAACAGG
This 253-nucleotide ribosomal RNA is filed under the name uncultured bacterium. RNAcentral describes it as "partial 16S ribosomal RNA". It matches the Rfam family "Bacterial small subunit ribosomal RNA", at positions 524 to 776 of the family's 1533-position model. The record is from RNAcentral.